Molecule: long non-coding RNA, 5718 nt
Filed under: Prunus persica (peach)
Lineage: Eukaryota; Viridiplantae; Streptophyta; Magnoliopsida; Rosales; Rosaceae
Description: long non-coding RNA (PPER_LNC008686)
Source: RNAcentral
GUAUAGCCGUGCGGCUAUACUAUUUUUAAUAUAAAAAAGGAGGACCCCAACGUUUAGGCGCCACGUGUCAACAUUUUUAUUUAAAAAAUAAAAAACUGGGUAUAGCCGUUCGGCUAUACUAUUUUUAAUAUAAAAAGGAGGACCACAACGUUUAGGCGCCACGUGUCAAUUUUUUAAUUAAAAAAAAUAAAAAACUGAGUAUAGCCGUUCGGCUAUACUAUUUUUAAUAUAAAAAGGUGGACCCCAACGUUUAGGCGCCACGUGUCCACUAACCACAGAGUAAAGCCGUGCGGCUGUACUCUUUUUUUGUUUUAAAAACAUGAGCCUCCAGCGGUUAGGCGCCACGUGUCCCAAACAGUAUAGCCGCCCGGCUAGACUAUCUUUCAAAGAGAAAAAUAUAGUACAGCCGCGCGGCUAUACUAUGUAAAUAGAAUUUAAUUAUUUUGUGGACUUUUUCUAUAAUUUUUUAAAUACUAAUUAAUAAUUACUAAUUAAAGUAAUUCAAAAAGGCUAAGAUGUUACUCAAUUACAUGUAUUGGAUUAAAGAAGUGGACCAAAAAACUAAAGCAAAGAAAGUAAUUAUAUGUUUAUUAAAAAGGAUUAAAUUUAUUUUUUUUUUUAAAGAAAAAGCAUUACAAAUACGUACAAACAUGUACAAUACGACUAUUGUAUGUUUGCUUUUUAAAAAAAGGAGGUGCGUAUAGAACACGAAUGUAUUAUUAGAAACUACGUACGUACAUACACACACACACAUAUAUAUAUAUAUAUAUAUAUUACGACUAAUUUAAAGUAAUUAAAAAAGAAUAAGAUAUUACUUAAUUACAUAUAUUAAAUGAAGGAAGUUGGCCAAAAGAAAAAGUAAAGAAACUAAUUUUAUAUUUUAAAAUUUUAUACUUUUCCAAAAAAAAAAAAAAAAAACACAAGAACACUUCUCCCGACGAAAUUUCGUCGGCAAAGAUCUAUGCCGACAAAAUUUGCCGGAUUAGGUUUCCCCCGACGAAAAUAUCUUUGCCGACGAAAUUUCGUCGGGAGAGGUCUUACUUUUAAAAAAUAAAUAUAAACUUGGGAUGUUUAGGUUAAUUAAUUUUUAAAAAUUUUAUUCUUAUUAACUACAUAAUAUAUUUGGAGAUUUAAUUAGUUGAAUUAGCAAUUAUAUUUUAAUUAUUAUUUAUUUAAUGACUGAUUAUGAUUAAAUAUUUUAAUUAACUUCAUGAAUUAUAUUACUUAAUGAAUAGUAAUUCAAUUUCUCUUUUUCUUUUUCUCCUUUAAUAUUCACUAAGUUAAUUACUAAUCAAAGUAAUUUAAAAAGUGAAAUACAUACUAUGCUACUUAAAGGGUGUAGCCAAACUUUUCAUAAAAAUUUAAAUUUUAAAAAAAAUAAUAAUAAUUUAAAAACCAGAGUAUAGCCGUGCGGCUAUACUAUUUUUAAUAUAAAAAAGGAGGACCCCAACGUUUAGGCGCCACGUGUCAACAUUUUUAUUUAAAAAAUAAAAAACUGGGUAUAGCCGUUCGGCUAUACUAUUUUUAAUAUAAAAAGGAGGACCACAACGUUUAGGCGCCACGUGUCAAUUAACCACAGAGUAAAGCCGUGCGGCUGUACUCUUUUUUGUUUUAAAAAAAUGAGCCUCCAGCGGUUAGGCGCCACGUGUCCCAAACAGUAUAGCCGCCCGGCUAGACUAUCUUUCAAAGAGAAAAAUAUAGUACAGCCGCGCGGCUAUACUAUGUAAAUAGAAUUUAAUUAUUUUGUGGACUUUUUCUAUAAUUUUUUACAUACUAAUUAAUAAUUACUAAUUAAAGUAAUUCAAAAAGGCUAAGAUGUUACUCAAUUACAUGUAUUGGAUUAAAGAAGUGGACCAAAAAACUAAAGCAAAGAAAGUAAUUAUAUGUUUAUUAAAAAGGAUUAAAUUUAAUUUUUUUUUUUAAAGAAAAAGCAUUACAAAUACGUACAAACAUGUACAAUACGACUAUUGUAUGUUUGCUUUUUAAAAAAAGGAGGUGCGUAUAGAACACGAAUGUAUUAUUAGAAACUACGUACGUACAUACACACACACACACACAUAUAUAUAUAUAUAUAUAUUACGACUAAUUAAAGUAAUUAAAAAAGAAUAAGAUAUUACUUAAUUACAUAUAUUAAAUGAAGGAAGUUGGCCAAAAGAAAAAGUAAAGAAACUAAUUUUAUAUUUUAAAAUUUUAUACUUUUCCAAAAAAAAAAAAAAAAAACACAAGAACACUUCUCCCGACGAAAUUUCGUCGGCAAAGAUCUAUGCCGACAAAAUUUGCCGGAUUAGGUUUCCCCCGACGAAAAUAUCUUUGCCGACGAAAUUUCGUCGGGAGAGGUCUUACUUUUAAAAAAUAAAUAUAAACUUGGGAUGUUUAGGUUAAUUAAUUUUUAAAAAUUUUAUUCUUAUUAACUACAUAAUAUAUUUGGAGAUUUAAUUAGUUGAAUUAGCAAUUAUAUUUUAAUUAUUAUUUAUUUAAUGACUGAUUAUGAUUAAAUAUUUUAAUUAACUUCAUGAAUUAUAUUACUUAAUGAAUAGUAAUUCAAUUUCUCUUUUUCUUUUUCUCCUUUAAUAUUCACUAAGUUAAUUACUAAUCAAAGUAAUUUAAAAAGUGAAAUACAUACUAUGCUACUUAAAGGGUGUAGCCAAACUUUUCAUAAAAAUUUAAAUUUUAAAAAAAAAUAAUAAUAAUUUAAAAACCAGAGUAUAGCCGUGCGGCUAUACUAUUUUUAAUAUAAAAAAGGAGGACCCCAACGUUUAGGCGCCACGUGUCAACAUUUUUAUUUAAAAAAUAAAAAACUGGGUAUAGCCGUUCGGCUAUACUAUUUUUAAUAUAAAAAGGAGGACCACAACGUUUAGGCGCCACGUGUCAAUUUUUUAAUUAAAAAAAAUAAAAAACUGAGUAUAGCCGUUCGGCUAUACUAUUUUUAAUAUAAAAAGGUGGACCCCAACGUUUAGGCGCCACGUGUCCACUAACCACAGAGUAAAGCCGUGCGGCUGUACUCUUUUUUUGUUUUAAAAACAUGAGCCUCCAGCGGUUAGGCGCCACGUGUCCCAAACAGUAUAGCCGCCCGGCUAGACUAUCUUUCAAAGAGAAAAAUAUAGUACAGCCGCGCGGCUAUACUAUGUAAAUAGAAUUUAAUUAUUUUGUGGACUUUUUCUAUAAUUUUUUAAAUACUAAUUAAUAAUUACUAAUUAAAGUAAUUCAAAAAGGCUAAGAUGUUACUCAAUUACAUGUAUUGGAUUAAAGAAGUGGACCAAAAAACUAAAGCAAAGAAAGUAAUUAUAUGUUUAUUAAAAAGGAUUAAAUUUAUUUUUUUUUUUAAAGAAAAAGCAUUACAAAUACGUACAAACAUGUACAAUACGACUAUUGUAUGUUUGCUUUUUAAAAAAAGGAGGUGCGUAUAGAACACGAAUGUAUUAUUAGAAACUACGUACGUACAUACACACACACACAUAUAUAUAUAUAUAUAUAUAUUACGACUAAUUAAAGUAAUUAAAAAAGAAUAAGAUAUUACUUAAUUACAUAUAUUAAAUGAAGGAAGUUGGCCAAAAGAAAAAGUAAAGAAACUAAUUUUAUAUUUUAAAAUUUUAUACUUUUCCAAAAAAAAAAAAAAAAAAACACAAGAACACUUCUCCCGACGAAAUUUCGUCGGCAAAGAUCUAUGCCGACAAAAUUUGCCGGAUUAGGUUUCCCCCGACGAAAAUAUCUUUGCCGACGAAAUUUCGUCGGGAGAGGUCUUACUUUUAAAAAAUAAAUAUAAACUUGGGAUGUUUAGGUUAAUUAAUUUUUAAAAAUUUUAUUCUUAUUAACUACAUAAUAUAUUUGGAGAUUUAAUUAGUUGAAUUAGCAAUUAUAUUUUAAUUAUUAUUUAUUUAAUGACUGAUUAUGAUUAAAUAUUUUAAUUAACUUCAUGAAUUAUAUUACUUAAUGAAUAGUAAUUCAAUUUCUCUUUUUCUUUUUCUCCUUUAAUAUUCACUAAGUUAAUUACUAAUCAAAGUAAUUUAAAAAGUGAAAUACAUACUAUGCUACUUAAAGGGUGUAGCCAAACUUUUCAUAAAAAUUUAAAUUUUAAAAAAAAUAAUAAUAAUUUAAAAACCAGAGUAUAGCCGUGCGGCUAUACUAUUUUUAAUAUAAAAAAGGAGGACCCCAACGUUUAGGCGCCACGUGUCAACAUUUUUAUUUAAAAAAUAAAAAACUGGGUAUAGCCGUUCGGCUAUNNNNNNNNNNNNNNNNNNNNNNNNNNNNNNNNNNNNNNNNNNNNNNNNNNNNNNNNNNNNNNNNNNNNNNNNNNNNNNNNNNNNNNNNNNNNNNNNNNNNNNNNNNNNNNNNNNNNNNNNNNNNNNNNNNNNNNNNNNNNNNNNNNNNNNNNNNNNNNNNNNNNNNNNNNNNNNNNNNNNNNNNNUUUUUUGUUUUAAAAAAAUGAGCCUCCAGCGGUUAGGCGCCACGUGUCCCAAACAGUAUAGCCGCCCGGCUAGACUAUCUUUCAAAGAGAAAAAUAUAGUACAGCCGCGCGGCUAUACUAUGUAAAUAGAAUUUAAUUAUUUUGUGGACUUUUUCUAUAAUUUUUUAAAUACUAAUUAAUAAUUACUAAUUAAAGUAAUUCAAAAAGGCUAAGAUGUUACUCAAUUACAUGUAUUGGAUUAAAGAAGUGGACCAAAAAACUAAAGCAAAGAAAGUAAUUAUAUGUUUAUUAAAAAGGAUUAAAUUUAAUUUUUUUUUUUAAAGAAAAAGCAUUACAAAUACGUACAAACAUGUACAAUACGACUAUUGUAUGUUUGCUUUUUAAAAAAAGGAGGUGCGUAUAGAACACGAAUGUAUUAUUAGAAACUACGUACGUACAUACACACACACACACACAUAUAUAUAUAUAUAUAUAUAUUACGACUAAUUAAAGUAAUUAAAAAAGAAUAAGAUAUUACUUAAUUACAUGUAUUAAAUGAAGGAAGUUGGCCAAAAGAAAAAGUAAAGAAACUAAUUUUAUAUUUUAAAAUUUUAUACUUUUCCAAAAAAAAAAAAAAAAAAACACAAGAACACUUCUCCCGACGAAAUUUCGUCGGCAAAGAUCUAUGCCGACAACAUUUGCCGGAUUAGGUUUCCCCCGACGAAAAUAUCUUUGCCGACGAAAUUUCGUCGGGAGAGGUCUUACUUUUAAAAAAUAAAUAUAAACUUGGGAUGUUUAGGUUAAUUAAUUUUUAAAAAUUUUAUUCUUAUUAACUACAUAAUAUAUUUGGAGAUUUAAUUAGUUGAAUUAGCAAUUAUAUUUUAAUUAUUAUUUAUUUAAUGACUGAUUAUGAUUAAAUAUUUUAAUUAACUUCAUGAAUUAUAUUACUUAAUGAAUAGUAAUUCAAUUUCUCUUUUUCUUUUUCUCCUUUAAUAUUCACUAAGUUAAUUACUAAUCAAAGUAAUUUAAAAAGUGAAAUACAUACUAUGCUACUUAAAGGGUGUAGCCAAACUUUUCAUAAAAAUUUAAAUUUUAAAAAAAAUAAUAAUAAUUUAAAAACCAGAGUAUAGCCGUGCGGACUAUACUAUUUUUAAUAUAAAAAAGGAGGACCCCAACGUUUAGGGCGCCACGUGUCAACAUUUUUAUUUAAAAAAUAAAAAACUGGGUAUAGCCGUUCGGCUAUACUAUUUUUAAUAUAAAAAGGGAGGACCACAACGUUUAGGCGCCACGUGUCAAUUUUUUAAUUAAAAAAAAUAAAAAACUGAGUAUAGCCG